GAUGAACGCUAGCUACAGGCUUAACACAUGCAAGUCGAGGGGAAACGACAUCGAAAGCUUGCUUUUGAUGGGCGUCGACCGGCGCACGGGUGAGUAACGCGUAUCCAACCUGCCCACCACUUGGGGAUAACCUUGCGAAAGUAAGACUAAUACCCAAUGCUAUCUAUAGAAGACAUCUGAAAGAGAUUAAAGAUUUAUCGGUGAUGGAUGGGGCUGCGUCUGAUUAGGUUGUUUGCGGGGUAACGGCCCACCAAGGCGACGACCAGUCGGGGUUCUGAGAGUAAGGUCCCCCACAUUGGAACUGAGACACGGUCCAGACUCCUACGGGAGGCAGCAGUGAGGAAUACUGGUCAAUGGGCGAGAGCCUGAACCAGCCAAGUAGCGUGCAGGAUGACGGCCCUAUGGGUUGUAAACUGCUUUUAUAAGGGAAUAAAGUGAGCCUCGUGAGGCUUUUUGCAUGUACCUUAUGAAUAAGGACCGGCUAAUUCCGUGCCAGCCGCCGCAGUAA
This 508-nucleotide ribosomal RNA is filed under the name uncultured bacterium. Its description in RNAcentral is "partial 16S ribosomal RNA". It matches the Rfam family "Bacterial small subunit ribosomal RNA", at positions 28 to 523 of the family's 1533-position model. The record is from RNAcentral.